CCUGAUAGCUCAGUUGGUAAAGAAUCUGCCUGUGAUGCAGGAGACCCAAGUUCAAUUCCUGGAUCAGGA
This 69-nucleotide transfer RNA is filed under the name Capra hircus (goat). It matches the Rfam family "tRNA". From Rfam's summary of the family: Transfer RNA (tRNA) molecules are approximately 80 nucleotides in length. Lineage: Eukaryota; Metazoa; Chordata; Mammalia; Artiodactyla; Bovidae. RNAcentral also lists the same sequence under 1 other name. The record is from Rfam by way of RNAcentral.